Odocoileus virginianus texanus is the source of this 434-nucleotide long non-coding RNA. RefSeq lists it as uncharacterized. The record is from RefSeq and is a predicted model, not a curated record. NCBI's taxonomy places the organism in Eukaryota, Metazoa, Chordata, Mammalia, Artiodactyla, Cervidae.
AUGUGAAAUCAAAAAUUUCCAUUCUGAAGGAGCUGGCCCAUGGGCAGCAGGAGACAAAUACAUGGUUUCAGGAAAAAUGAAGACCAGUUCUUUGAAAUUAGGAAUGAUGCGCUUUCUUUGCUGCCAAAAGGACCCUAAGCACAUCAGGGGAAGCCAGCUGUCAUGUUUUGGGGACAUUAAUGCAUCCAAUGGAAUGGUUCUAUAUGGAGAGGAGAGCAACUGAAGAGUCUAGCAGCAACCAGUGAGGAAGCAAGAUCUGCCGCCAAACACAUGUGUGAACUUGGAACAGGAUCCUCUCCCAGUUGAGUCUUCUGAUGAAGUUCUGGCCCCAGCUGUCUGAAACUGUAUGAGACUGUGAGCCAGAACCAUCUAGCUAAGCUCUUUCCAGAUUCCUGACCUGCAGAAGCUAUGAGCUAACAUCUGUUGUCUUAAGU